This is a long non-coding RNA of Herpailurus yagouaroundi (jaguarundi), 410 nucleotides long. RefSeq lists it as uncharacterized. The transcript is spliced from 2 exons. The record is from RefSeq and is a predicted model, not a curated record. NCBI's taxonomy places the organism in Eukaryota, Metazoa, Chordata, Mammalia, Carnivora, Felidae.
UGGCUUCAGAAGCGCCCCAGGUGAUCCCGAUGACACUCAAGUGGGAGCCCCACUGCUUUGUUUUGCACUUACUUAGAGCUCGCUUCUGUGUCUCUUCGGUCAGCUGGUCUGGUACUGGUUUAAACUGGACAAACUGCAGACGAUGUCCUUUACCUUGUUGCACAGGUACACACCAAAAGAUUUAGAAGACGGGAGACUGGAUGUUGGGCCGUGCAGAGAAGGUCGUGUGCACCUGCGGUGAUUGGUUCAUGGGGUCAAAUGAGUCUCUGGCGAUUGACAGAGUUGAUUAAUGGGUUGGGGAAUCCUGCAGUGGUUGAGACAUCACGUGAUUUUUAACUUGCCCCUCUUACUAGUUUGCAUUUGCCCCUCAUGUCUUAGGAACAUCAAGAAUAAAGUUGGAGUGGGAGAGA